UGGGUUUCCUAGUCAAAUUGGUACUAUGCUACUUUUGCUUGUCCUUCAUCCUGGCUGAAGCCCAAAGAGCAAAUGUUGAAAUUCGAAAUCAAAUACAAGAAAAUAUUGAAGCAGUUUGUUAUUCUGGAGACCGUGAUUUUGGUACCCAUGAAAUUUUACCUGGCGGUAGAAUCUCCUUUCUCCUCGUACAAAACAAUUAUUUGCGUGACCCGUUUUAUUGUCAUUUUAAGACAAGUCAUGGUGGUGGAAAAUUUGCCAUUUAUGAUUAUGAAUUGGAGAAGUUAUGUCACACAAAUUGUAUCUGGCUUAUAUCGAGUAAUGGGCCGUGUUUAAGGCUUAAUGAAGGACCAGUACAAUCCAAGUGUCAACAGUGGCAGGACCCUCAGCCUGCAGUGUUACCUUAACCCCUAAAUUGUCUCUCCACUCCCCCGCCCCCCGAAGGCUUCUGAAGUUGGAGUAAUAAGAAAUGAAUCAAAUGUUGUCUUUUAUUUAAAAAUUUCAGCUUUGGGUAAUGAUAACAAUAUGUACUCCUUAUGUUAGUUCGAUCUGUC
This 551-nucleotide long non-coding RNA is filed under the name Olea europaea subsp. europaea. The record is from RNAcentral. Lineage: Eukaryota; Viridiplantae; Streptophyta; Magnoliopsida; Lamiales; Oleaceae.